GAUGAACGCUGGCGGCGUGCCUAAUACAUGCAAGUCGAGCGAACAGACGAGGAGCUUGCUCCUCUGACGUUAGCGGCGGACGGGUGAGUAACACGUGGAUAACCUACCUAUAAGACUGGGAUAACUUCGGGAAACCGGAGCUAAUACCGGAUAAUAUAUUGAACCGCAUGGUUCAAUAGUGAAAGACGGUUUUGCUGUCACUUAUAGAUGGAUCCGCGCCGCAUUAGCUAGUUGGUAAGGUAACGGCUUACCAAGGCAACGAUGCGUAGCCGACCUGAGAGGGUGAUCGGCCACACUAUAACUGUAACGCGGUCCAGACUCCUACGGGAGGCAGCAGUAGGGAAUCUUCCGCAAUGGGCGAAAGCCUGACGGAGCGACGCCGCGUGGGUGAUGAAGGUCUUCGGAUCGUAAGACUCUGUUAUUAGGGAAGAACAAAUGUGUAAGUAACUAUGCACGUCUUGACGGUACCUAAUCAGAAAGCCACGGCUAACUACGUG
This 497-nucleotide ribosomal RNA is filed under the name uncultured bacterium. RNAcentral's name for it is "partial 16S ribosomal RNA". It matches the Rfam family "Bacterial small subunit ribosomal RNA", at positions 28 to 507 of the family's 1533-position model. The record is from RNAcentral.